This is a long non-coding RNA of Diabrotica virgifera virgifera (western corn rootworm), 7119 nucleotides long. RefSeq lists it as uncharacterized. The record is from RefSeq and is a predicted model, not a curated record. NCBI's taxonomy places the organism in Eukaryota, Metazoa, Arthropoda, Insecta, Coleoptera, Chrysomelidae. The transcript is spliced from 2 exons.
UCAAAUAUAGAUUAAAAUUCUACUUAUAAAUAAGAAUACUGUAAUUUCUUAGUUAUUGGUUAAGAAACACUGUUAUUGAAUAAUAUGGUCUUUCAGAUAGAUAGCCUUUUGUCAUUUUACGGAACUUGGGGAAAGAUGUUGCAGAUUUAAGUUGUAGAGGGAGAUGGUUGUAUAUGUAUAGUUUUUUUUGCAGUUGCAUUAUGUUCAGGUUGACAUCAGGAAAAAGUUAACUAUUCAAAAAUGGGUGGAAAUGCAUAAUUGCACUGUAAAGUGCCAUAAAUGCAUCCAAAAUUGCAUAAAUAUAAAAAUAAAGUCAAAAUCAGAAUACUAAGGAACAAAAUUUAUUAUUUGGGGGGUUUUGGGGUGACUGAAUACGAUUACGCAAUCAGAACUGACCCCCGGAUUACCUGGUGCCCAAGGUCAGUACAAGAGACGUCAUCUUCUGGAGUUUCGAUGGUUUUCGGCAUUAAAUCGAUGCAAACGGAUUACUCACCGGUUUUAGGGGUCACUAAGUACUAAUAUGCCAUCAGAAUUGACCUCCGGAGUACCUGGUGCACAGGGUCGCUACUAAGGCACGUCAUCUUCUGGAGUUUCGAGGGAUUUCGGCACUAAAUUGAUGCAACUGGACUAUUCGGGGGUUUUUGAGGUGGUUGAACACGAAUAUGCCAUCACAACAGACCUCUGGAUCACCUGGUGCCCAAGGUCACUACAAGGGACGUCAUCUUCUGGACUUACGCGUGCUUUCAGUACGUAUUAAAUUAAUACAAACGGAAUACUUACGGGUUUCUGGGAUCGCUAAACACGAGUAUGCCAUCAGAAUUGAAUUCGUUCAGGAGUACCUGGUGCCCUGGAUCUCUACUAAGGCACGUAGUCUUCUGGAGUUUCGAGUGUUUUCGGCAUUAAAUUGAUGUAAACGGAUUACUCACGGGUUUUUUGGGGUCGGUAAACACGAAUAUGAUAUCAGAACUGAACUCCGGAGUACCUGGUGCUCAGGGUCGCUACUUGGGCACGUCAUCUUCUGGGGUUUCGAGGGUUUUCGGCAUUUAAUCGAUGCAAAUGGAUUACUGGAGGGUUUUUGAAGUCGCUUAACACGAAUAUACCAUCAGAACCGACCAACUGUGCACCUGGAGCCCAAGGUCACUGCAAGGGACGUUGCUUAUAGGUAUAGGAACACAUUACUUAUAGGUUUUUGGGGAUGCUGAACACGAAUACCCAAUCAGAACAAACACAGGAGGACCUGAUGCCGAAGGCAUUUCAUCUUCUGGAAUUUCAAAAGUUUUAGAUACUCAAUUGAUGCAAACAGAUUACUCAUGGGUUUUUGGGGUUGCUAAACACAAAUACGCCAUCAGAAGAGACACCGGAGCACCUGGGCCUAAUGCACGUUAUCCUCUGGAGUUUUGAGGGCUUUUGGCAUUAAAUCGAUUCAAACGGAUUUUUGGGGUUGCUGAAGACAAAUACGCCGCCAGAACAAACACCGGAGCACCUGACGCCUAAGGUAUAUCAUCUUAUGGAGUUUAGAAAAAUUUUGGUACUAAAUUGAUGUAAACGAAUUGCUCAUGGGUUUUUGGGUUUGCGGAAUACGAACUCUACUAUGUUGAUCUAUUUAUUUUUUUAUAUCAGUGUUAUUAUGCGUUGACGUUAUUAGUAAUUACCGUAAUCACAAGAUACUCCAGAAUUCCUCAUGUAAGCCAUAUUCGUGUUCAACAACCCCAAAACCAAAAAGUAAUCCAUUUUCCAUCAAUUUAGUACCGAAAACUCUCGAAACUCCAAAAAGUAACGUGCUUUAUGCACCAAGUGCUUCGGUGUCUGUUCUGAUGGCGUUUUCGUGUUCAGGUACCUCAGGAACCCAUGAGUAAUCCGUUUUCAUCAAUUUAGUACCGAAAAGACUCGAAACUCCAGAAGAUGACCUGCCUUAGGCACCAGAUGCGGUGUGGGUUGGGUCUAAUGGCAUAUUCAUGUUCAGCAACCCCAAAAACUCAAGAGUAAUGCGUUUGCACUAAUUUAGUACCGAAAACUAUCGAAACUACAAAAGAUAACGUGCCUUAGGCACCAGGUGCUCCGGUGUGUGUUCUGAUGGCGUAUUUAUGUUCAGAAACCCCAAAAAUCCAUGAGUUAUCCAUUUGUAUCCAUUGGCAUUUGGCCCCCAUUUUGAUGGUGGGCAGGCCCGGGUUUACCCCUACUAGCGCCCUAGGCCCAGCUGUUUUUACCGCCCUGCCUCCCUCAUCCACUCCUCUCCCUGUAGCUGGCCCCCUGCCCAGUGAUGAAACACUCAUUUAAAAAAAAAUAAAGGGAGGGAUGACUCAAGUUAAAGAGGAAUCGUCGAAAGCUUUUAUUUUCAAUCUUACAAAAUUAAGACCAUUUCUGGCAUAAGUUGAGUAUUAAUAUAAUAACAAGCAAACAAAAAAAGAAGAAAAUACCAUUGUUUCACCAAUCACCAAGGUUACAUUGCUUUACGCCUAGCUUUUUGACGGGCAAAAUCAUCAAUGAGGUCUUCAUACGCAAUUCUUUUGGUGAUGCGCUGCUCAAUAUUAAGAAGGGAUAACGCUGUCAAUCUUUCAGUUCCCAUUGUUGACCGAAGGUAAUUCUUGACGCGUCGCAAGGUUGAAAAUGAGCGUUCUCCGGAACAGUUUGAGACAGGUGAGGAGAGAAUAAUACGGAGUGCUAUGUCAAUGUUCGGGCACAUUUCUAGAGCACCAUUUUCAUAAAGAAAUUUAGAGUCCGGAAAUACUUGAGGUUUUUUUCACUUUUUGGUCACCUGUUAUCUCCCAAAGCGAUGGCUCACAUUGGCCCAAAUAAGCUUGCAGAUAAAAACAUUCAUCAGUUAAUGAUAUUUCGAGAUCAUUUGGGUAUAAGGUCACUAGGUGAUUAGCUUUUUCUGUAAUGACAUCGGAGGUCUGUAAGUCAGUGUUCUCAAAAAACCCAAAAAUUGAAUGAAUGUCACUAUAUUUAUCAGCGCGUUUACGUAGCUCAGUGCUUAACUUGUCCCGAGAAGCAAAUAAUAUAAUGGAAUCGACGUUUAAUCAAAAGUAACGCGUAAAUAACUCGAGAAUGUUGAUAUUCCCACCUUCACACUCCACCAAACGCGAUUGCUUCAAUUCCAUGCAACGCAAGGCAACUCCUACCGAUAGGUAGCGUAAGUGUAACAGUGUAAGUACAGGAAUCAUCGUGGUAUUGACGUAUUGUUUGUUUUCUCGCGUCUCGGCAUUCCUUCCUUCCCCCGCGUUUUCAUUAGUCGCCCUCAAAUUUCUGUCCCAUUGAAUUGAAAACAUCUGAAAUUUUGCGCCCCUCAAAAUCUUGCGCUCUAGGCUCAGGCCUAGUCGGCCUUAUGGGAAACCUGGCCCUGAUGGUGGGGAAGGGGUGGUGGGUUAAAAUUACGUUAUUAAGUAUUACUAGUCUCAUGAGCCACUCUCUCAAGCUACUUCUUAAGAUAAUUCUUAAUAUAAUCAAGCAGAAAUGUGAAGAGACAAUGGGAAACAAACAAUUCGGUUUCAGAGAAGGAUUGGGAACAAGGGAAGCUUUGUUCUCAAUGUUAACAUUACUUCAACGAUCAUGGGAAGUACAGAAACCAAUUUACGUCUGCUUUAUAGAUUUUGAGAAGGCGUUUGAUAGAGUUCAACAUAAUAGGUUGUUUGAAUAUCUAGAAAUGAUUGGAAUAGACGAUAAAGAUCUGAGACUUUUACAACAUCUAUAUUGGUAUCAAGAAGCUUCUAUUCUGGUAGACGGCAAAGAAACAGACAAAAUUUGCAUUCAAAGAGGUGUCAGACAGGGUUGUGUGUUAUCCCCAACUUUGUUUAACGUAUACUCAGAAAUAAUUUUUAAUGAAGCCUUGGAAGGACAAUGUGGAGUUCGAAUCGGGGGAGAAACUAUUAGCAACAUCAGAUAUGCAGACGACACCGCGAUCAUGGCUGAAAAUAUCGAAGAUCUUCAAUUCCUUAUAGAUCGAGUCGCUAGAGAAUGCUCCAAUAACGGACUUAACAUAAAUGCAACAAAGACAAAGUUACUUGUGGUUAGUAAACAAGACGUCGGCCCUAUGCAACUAAUUGUCAAUGAUGAAUCAAUAACAAAAGUUAACCAUUUUAAAUACCUAGGAUGUUGGAUAAACGAGACACUAAAUCGGAUGAAGAAAUUAAAACUCGUAUAGAAAUUGCAAGAGGAGCAUUUAUGAAACUUAGAUCUAUUCUGAGCAACUCUCAGCUGAACUUACAACUAAGAAUCAAGUUCCUAAAAUGUUAUGUGUAUCCUGUAUUACUAUAUGGAUGUGAAACCUGGAUCAUGAAGGUUAACAUGAUGAACAAAUUAGAAGCCUUUGAGAUGUGGUCGUAUCGUAGAAUGCUCAGAAUAUCUUGGGUUCAACGCAUUUCAAACAGAGAAGUCUUAAACAGAGUAGGUCAAGGCGAAGGUGACUUAAUGAAGAUGAUAAAAAAGAGAAAACUUGAAUAUCUGGAGCAUAGAAUGAGAGGUAGCAGAUACAGGAUGCUGCAGUUAAUACUCAAUGGAAAGAUCGACGGAAAAAGAGGAAUUGGUCGAAAGAAAUAUUCAUGGCUCCGAAACCUUCGUCAAUGGACUGGCUUAUCAGCAGAUCAAUUGUUACAUGCCACACAAGAUCGAGAACGAUAUCGGCAAAUUGUUAUGGAAGCUACCCACGCCUUAAAAUUUGGGCACGGUACUUAAAGAAGAAGAAGUCUCAUUUGUUAAUCACAUAGAACUUAAAAAGUGAAAUAAAUUGAAUUCUGUUAGUGAGAGGGGGUACCUUUUAAUUUAUUUAUCCUGUCCAUAAGUGGAAACUUUGAUGCGCCACUGUCGACGCAUGUGCGUCACUAAAACGUGACGGCAUAGUGUUCAUACAUUUACUUUUAGGUUCUACUAUUUAAGUUUAGGCUCUUAUCGUGCCUAAAAUGACUAGCAAAUUUCACCUAUACCGGCUAUUAGUGUAAUAGCGCGCGAAUUCAGUCUUAUUCGGCUACGCCAGCCGCUACGUCCACUAUUUUUUACUCGGAACGCAAAAUACUCUUUGUUUAUAACACUUCUGUUUAAACAAUUUGUAAUAUUUUUUCUAGCUAAAAAUUUUGUUGAAAACUUUGUCUUUUCUUAUAAAAGACUGGUUAAUUUCAGCUCUUAAUGUUGUUAAGUAACGUAACAGUGAUUUAAAAAAAAAGUCAGUCAGGGUGGUAUGACUUUUAAUUUUUUUUAAGUUGUGUAUUUUAAUCAGCUUUCCGUAUUUUUUAUUGCCAUUUAAUUUAAUCUAAUUUCCACGGAGUUUUGUAAUUGUUUAUAAGCUUAAAAAGUGCUAUUUAUUAACAAAUAAUUUUGAUUACAUAAAUGUAACUUUUUUUUAAAUUUUUUUCAUAGGCUAUUAGUAUACAUUUCAUCUUAACGAAGGAAAUAAGCCCCAGAUCAUUGAAAUCCAUUCAGCCAAAUUAACUGGACCAGACUCAGAAAUUAGCUCGUUUUUCAAAAAAUUUUAUAAACAAAUUCAAUUUCGCAAAAACUAUUUAACAGAUCUAGACCAUUUUUUGCACACCAUUCAAACGCUAUAAUACCCUCAAGUUUAUAUACAUUUAAACAAAUUUUAAUCAGCAAUAAAAUUGUUAUUAACAAUAUCCAAAAACAGCGAUUUUGUCGGCCGUUUUGCAAUAACUUUUUUAUUUAUUAACCGAUUUUCAUUUAGCGUAUCUCAUUCUAUGUAUAUUUUUUGUCUGAAAAAGUUACCUGUGAACGUCAAAACUCUAAAUAAACAAGUUUUUUAAGUUAUGAGCAAAAACUAAGUUUGACGUUUUUGUUGUUAAUUUAAUUUAAAAAUUGUUCCACAAAAAAAAUUGAUGAAUCCCAAGAUGGAACAUCUCAUUCUACACAUUUCAACUAUCAAACCCUGUUCUUUCAGUUAUAUCGAGUAAAAACCUAACUUAAUUGGUCUAUAUCUCAAUCACGAACGUCACAAUGUAACGAUAAGCGUUCUAAUCGUUACUAAAAUAUUUAUUCCGAUAGGAACUAGGUAUACAACCAACUAUACAGCGAGUUGUUUGAAGUGUUGCGUUGAUUUUCGGUGCGACUUGAUGGAAUAACUGGUAACAUUGGAAUUGUUAAGUUGGCAAUCUGUCAAGGAAUUUCCGCCGAACGUGGUUGACAGAAGUGAAAGGCUUCACUCUUUCGAAGGAUUUGGUAGAAAUCGCAUCUCCAAUGACCGGUGAUUCUAUCUAGAAUAGAAUUUAUGUUAAAAUUUGGUUUUAUGUGAAUGCUGAAUAUAAGUUAGAAGUUGUGGUUUUUUUUUGGUUUUGGUGAAGUAUAGGAGAGGAGUUUCGUUGCUUUUUACAGCAUCACCGGUCAUUGGAGAAGAAGGAGUCCAAGUUGUCAGUAAUUUUUUCUUUUAAAUGGAAACAUAAUAAGUUGGGAAUUUUGGGUCAAGUUUGUUGGAUUUUUUGCAUGGAAUUUUUGUUGAGUUUCUGGUACUAGGAAGUACCUCGUCGAGACAAGUACCCUCCACCCCUAAGGUUGGGAAAACCUGGAAAAUACCGUACUUGGGUCUCUUCCGAUCAUCACCCUCGAAGGAGGCUGGAUGAGAAACACACCUUCACUUGUGUAGAAGCAACAGGUUUUAUAAUUAAAAUUUGCAUGUCAAUUUAUUUAAUAAUACCUUUAAAUUUUACUCUUUUUGUCAAUAACUGUUAACUUACUUUAAUAAUAAUAUAUUUUCAUUUUUCUUAAAAUAUAAUUAACCUAAUAACAUUCAAUAUUUUCGAUAAAUUUAAUCUUUCCACUGUUUUUAUCAUUUGUUUACAAUAGUUUGAAGGUUGUAAACCAUCUUGUUGUAAGAGUGUUGUGCACAAUAUUCGGGAGUUUAGAACCUUAUUUUAUAACCUAUUUAAUAAAAUUUAUUUCAUCGGUCAGGUAUUGUCACUUCCGAUCAGAUACGAGAUUGUCAGCCAAUCUUGUAUCCCUCAUUAAUCAUAAGUUUGUACACACUGUUUGAUAGAAUUAAUUUCUUACAUAUUUUUCAUAUUGUAAAACCUGCGUUAUCGACAGGAACGUACUAGCCUAGUACGUCCGGUAGUUUAGCUAAUUGUGUAAAAAUUGUAUAUAGGGGCUAUAGGUAUUUUAUUUGAUUAAAUUUGGUUGUACAUA